Molecule: long non-coding RNA, 5281 nt
Organism: Triticum aestivum (bread wheat)
Lineage: Eukaryota; Viridiplantae; Streptophyta; Magnoliopsida; Poales; Poaceae
Exons: 4
Source: RefSeq, a predicted model, not a curated record
GAUGUGCAUCCAUUGGGCGUGGAAACCUAGGCUCUUUUCCCCAAUCCGGCAGCCGCCUCACCACCCCGCCUCCAUCCCUCGCCUCCUCAUCCAGGCUCCAGCCCCGCUAGGAUCCCGCCCGCUCCUCCCGCUUCUUCCUCCAUCCUUCAUCUAGAGUGCCGGCCCGCCGGGGCUCCGCCUCCUCAUCCAUCCCAGCCCGUACUCAGCCUCCUCCGCCCGCCUCUUCCUCCUUUCCAUCAGUGGCAGUGGUGAGGAUAGGAGCAGCGUCUGUGGCUGGACACCAUGAGCUUCCAAGGUGGUCCAUGGUGAGGAACGGAUGUGCUCGACGUCUCCUUCAAUCCGUCUUUUUCGGGGGUACAAUCUGAUUUCUGCAAGGAAGGCGGCUCGGCAUGACCACCGUGCCAUGUCCAUGGUGCCACUGACCCUCCACCUGUCUCUUCUUCCGAAGUGAAGUGCCCAUCUCCCCUCUUCCCAGCCAGUUUUGCCUUGUCAUAGGAGGAAGAUGAGUUGGAGGUGCCUGCCUGCUACCUUGGAGCAAUGGGUGCGCCACCCAAUCAGCCAGUCGACGAUAGAUCCAGGUGGCGUAACAUUUGAGUUGCCCGUCCCAGUCCUUAGUUCACAUAUGCUGGAUGAGUUUAUUUGGCGCAAGGAGACUAGAUGAGUGCAGGGGGGAGAGAUGAGGUAGAUGCGAAAUCCCAACUCUUGCUCGUGCUGCUACGACCGUGGUGUUUCUUAUGUGUAGUUUUUUGUAGAGGUCUGGGCUCUAACAUAUUCUAUAGAUAUGUGAUGUUUCUUAUGUGCAGUUUUUUGCAUGUAUUUUAGUGAGAAAUGAAGUAUGCUUUAGAGAACAGAGAGAUAAAAAUGCCAUAUUCUUUUAUCAAAUAAAGAUCUGGCUCGGUGGCUCCUUAUUUUGCUUGUCGGGACCAAGAUCUCUAGCUAUCAAUGAACUUUCCAGAGUCGUUUUUGCUGGUCUGAAGUAUGGAAAUUUCUUGGUUAACAUCUUUAUAAGCGGCAUAAUCUCUGCAAACAAAACAGAAUAACUAAAACAUAGCUAAGUCCAUUUUUUCUGCAUGAUCUAUUUUGAUCUCAAAUGCAUUUGAAUGACUCGGCAUUUCCAUUCAAUUUCCUUUUGCCAUUUAUCUUCCAUUUAGACAUAUGGGAUAACCAUCAUUUCAUAUUUUUGUCAUGUAUCUUUCAUUUACAUGGAAAUUACUAAGUAAUAACCAAUGGAUGUUUUUUAACAGCUGCAAGACUACCUGCUAAUAAUUACCGAGAAUUAACCAUCAUAUGUAUCUUUCAUUUUAUUAAUACCAAAUUACCAAAACAGUGAGGGCAACAGUUAGACACCAUAAACUGUAUAUGUUACUAUUAAUUGUUCAUCCUUAAUGUUUGAAGUGUUCCACAUGAUUUUUGCUGGUAGAAAGAUUCAAGGAUUUUGGUUUCGUUAGAAAUACAAAAUUUCUUUGUUCAGCCACCCUGCCCAUGGUGGCUUGCUUUACUAAAUUUAUAAUCAAACACUUGAAUAUAUAUUUUCAUCAGUAUGCCCCCUAUCCUAUUUUUGUGGGUACACAUGAAUGUUUGAUCUAGAUUCUAGGUGCAUCCUUUACUACAACAAUCUCAGGCUAUACUGAAAAGUGUACUGCUUAUAUAGCGAAUAUAUUUAAUUCAUACGCUCGUCUGUUGGAUGCUAUGGUCACUGGCUUGACGCUCACUGCUACUGGACGCUCGCUGCUAUUAUUGGUUCAUAAGUUUUGCAGACAUGGUUACUGCAGAUUUUUUUGAGCGAAUGGUUAGUGUAGAGUUAGUUCUUAUGGUUAUUGAAACCAUGCAAAAUGUAGCUUUCCCCUUCCUCUCUGGUCACUUGAAUUUAAAUCUCCUGCAUGUUCAUUUAUGAACUCUGCACCAACACACGUGACCCAUGCAAAAAUUGUUCACUUUUAGAGUCUAGCUCAAAGAAAUUCACUUCUGGAGUGUAACUCAAAAAAUUUCAUGUUGAAGAUUUGUGUUGUUGUUGAAUUAGGGAUUUAAAUUCAAGUUUCCUCGGAUGUCUAUUGCUACUGAAUUACAGGUUUAAAUUCAACUUUCCUCUGAUUAAUUUAUAUCUGUCUUUUGUACUCUACUGAACAUGUGUGUAUAGUUUCAGAAUUCCUUUUACCACUAAUACUUAUGGGUUGUUCUAGAGGCGAUUUUGCAUCACUCCAUUUUAUAGAUGUUCAUGCAUAAGUAGCAUCAUUUUUUUCCUAAUGCUGGCUUUUCAUCUGCUAACUGGUAUGUGCCAUGCGGUAUGUGCCCAACCUAUGUAUCUCAUUAUGUUAUGAUAACGCAGAUGCUCUCCUUUGUAGGCGAAACGACCGGAGAAAGUAAGCAGCUCCUUUUUAGUGGUGUUCGAAGAUGGUAUUAAGCAUAGUUAGGCUCUGCCAUUCGUGAAAGUACAAUUUCUUUGUAGGCUUUUGAUUCACCACUAUUAUGUAUAAGUUUUAGGCUUUGUUUCCUGAAUAAGAUCAAGAAUUUUGCACUGAAAAUUCAUGCCCGCUGUUCAAAACUCAGUCUAUAUUUUGAAAGAAAUACCUUAUUACUUUUUUGCAUCAUAGGGGGUUAUAUAUACUGUCAAGAUUCUGAAGUUGUUCUAUAUUGCUAUCACAUGAGUAUAAAAGCAACAAAAAAUCAAUAUGGUGGUAUCUUGCGGUGGGAUCUACUUGCCAUUUCUGAACAAAUACCAAACACGGCUGUACUUAAUUUCCCCUUUAGGAAAUACAUUGUGUAUGAUGAGAUUAUGAAUACAACUCCUGUCAACAUGAAGAGGUGGCAGAUAGGUAAGUCUACAUGCAUGUGGUUAGAGAAACGCCUCGAAAAAAGAUCAGGGCAUAUCCUAGACUAACAACUAUGCUAGGAUGGUACAUGAGACAGUGGGAUGCACCUGAAUUAUACCAUUUCAGUAAUUACUAUGUAUUUCCACCCUUUUGUUUCUAGCUGAUACAUAAUGUUUGGUACACGAAUCAAUCAUGCUUCUUUGUCCGAAGUUAUCUCUAAAAGACCUGUGUGCACUGCAGCUCGCUCAAUUAUGUUUGUCUAAAUACUUUCCUUUUUUGUACCAAUAUCAUGUUAACUGAAAACUUGUAGUGUUUAUUCCAAUGAUUUUUGGGUGUAAUUUCCACUAAGGUUUAUUAUCAACAGAUCAGAUGUAGGUUGGUUAAUUUGAAAAUAGCUAUAUAUAGUGAAAGGCCUUAAAUGAGCAACCUAUAUUUUAUUAGCCAGUUCUAUCUAAGAAUAUGCUCAUCUGUAAUAGCUGGAAGGGUAAUGUAAAAAAACCAGUGUUUCUAUGGUGCUAACUUUACUACAUGCAUUAUUUAAAAAAAUUACUACAUGCAUUAAUCCAAAUUAUUGUUCAUUAUGCUAAUUAUGCAACUUUGUCUUCCAUUUAUAUUUUCAAUUUGUACUUCUCGUUCCACGUAAUAUAUUGCCUUUUUUAUUUGUGACUGCAUGGUCUGACUGUUGAAUUUCUUAAAGUAUAUUACCUUCUUGUUUUUGGAAUAAUAGAUUGAUGUUUUGUACCUAAGGUCUAACAAGGCCUGUUGGUUGGUCGGUGUACUGAUUUUGAAAGCAAUAUUGAACAACAUCAGAAUAUAUUUUGACACUUUUUUAUGCUUCGAUGUUCCUUUGUCACUGUUCGACUUUCUGCCUUGGCCUCUGUCUUGGUUUACAGCUCCAUAGGCUACCUAUGUAGGUUCUGUUUUGAACUGUACUCAAAUCACAUAGAGCUGUUAAACUUCCAGUUUGUUGCCUUCCUGUCGUGUAACAUCGCCAUGUUUACUCCAGAAACAUGGAAUGUGCAAAGCUUCUGUGUUGAUUAGUGAAAUACUUGCUUUGCCUUAAAGACUGUUCCCAUAUGUGUCCUAGGUUUUUUGGUAUGAAUUUCAUAUUUCCCUGGAAUGAUCAACACAUUUCCAUGGGAUUUUAGAAAAAUAUAUGUGAAUGCAUCUUUCUAAUAAAAAGUGUUGCUUAUCAGGGCUUCUAUGAUCCACUGAUUGUAUGAAUUCUCUUUAAAUAUGUCAACAUACUUCAGUGUAUGUUAGUUUUAGGAUGGCAACUAACAUUUUUUUCACGCUCUUUGUUAACAGUUUCGGUUCUCACAGGGUUUGAGAUGUGUAGAUUCCGUGCCACAGAUCAGUUGCAGGUGGGUAUGUAGCAUCCUUAUCUAUUUCAUAUGUUCGACUCCACUUUCAUUUGCCUAUGGUGUUUAGGCUCAGGGCUUUCCACCGUUUCAUCUAGAAAUGCAUCAUGCUUUGUAUCAAACUCAAGUAUAUAUAUGGUGUUGUUGGGGCUUCUUUGAUCGAAAUGUGAAAGAUUGCAGACGUGAUUUUGUUUAGACCAUUUGUCCGGGUAGUGACAUUUUGGUAUGCAAGACAUGUGUUUAUUUGAUUUUCUUUCUUGCAUACACUAAAGUAACCAUGAUAAUCAGUAGCAGGAAGACAGUCAAAACAUUAUUUUCUUUGUCUUGGUAUUCCUGAUUUAGUUGUCAUUUUGUAUGUUUCAUGGAAAAUAUUCAAUUCCAAGUCAUCUUUCCAUUGCUAUUUUCCCUACCACGCCUACAUAUGGGUAGACAAUCUUAUCCAGAAUGGAAUUUUGGAUUGUGGAUUCUCUGGACUGAAUGGUUUAAGUUUUUUUCUAGAUUGAUGUCAUCCAUAUUUUACUUAUUUAGACAAUGCUAUGACUACGAUACAAUCAACUAUGACUUGGAAUACUUUUCCCAUAUAGUGUUGGGCAAUAUUAUAGGCACCCACCCUCCAAAGCACAGUUGGGUGGUGUUAUUUGAUUAGAUUAACCAUCAACAAUCAUGUUUAUAGACUUCCUGGAGAAACAAACACAUGGACAGCAUCAUCUGGUACAACACAACAAUGACCACACCAACGAGGUGCUUAUUGUUGUCAAGCACGAACUAACUUUUUCCCUUGGUCAGUUAUUGGAAGGACUGAAAUUGUGGGUCAAGAUGCAUUAACCUGAUAAGGAAUCACACUCAACUCUAAUAAGAAGGCCUACGAAGACAAUUUGAUAUAAUAACUUCAUUGUAUUCUGCUCCAAAGCAAAAAACUCUUUAAUGUGGAGCCCAUGUUACAAUGUGUUGUAGUUUACUACCAUUUCUAAAACAGGCCAACCAUUUUAGCAGCCUGCAGCUUGCUUUUAUAUUUUGGAAUUGUUACUCGUUCAUAUAUAUUUAUAUUCAUGCUGCUCGGCCUUCCUGAUACUGGGAGCAAUGUAGUUAUUGGUAGAAGUAUGACCUCAG